CCUACGGGUGGCUGCAGUAGGGAAUAUUGCUCAAUGGGGGAAACCCUGAAGCAGCAACGCCGCGUGGAGGAUGAAGGUUUUCGGAUUGUAAACCUCUUUUGAUAGGGAAGUUAAUGGCGGUACCUAACGAAUAAGCAACGGCUAACUUCGUUCCAGCAGCCGCGGUAAUACGUAGGGUGCAAGCGUUACCCGGAAUCACUGGGCGUAAAGAGCGCGUAGGCGGGAUAGCAAGUCAGUUGUGAAAUCCUAUGGCUUAACCAUAGAACUGCAUUUGAAACUGUUAUUCUAGAGUUCAGGAGAGGUAGGUGGAAUUCUUGGUGUAGGGGUGAAAUGCGUAGAUAUCAAGAGGAAUACUCAUUGCGAAGGCGGCCUACUGGAACGUAACUGACGCUGAUGCGCGAAAGCGUGGGGAGCAAACAGGAUUAGAUACCCUAGUAGUC
RNAcentral lists this ribosomal RNA (440 nucleotides) under uncultured bacterium. Its description in RNAcentral is "partial 16S ribosomal RNA". It matches the Rfam family "Bacterial small subunit ribosomal RNA", at positions 338 to 795 of the family's 1533-position model. The record is from RNAcentral.